CUUGUUCGGUUGGCGCCCUAUUGUUUUCCUUUCCUUUCUCUUACUCGGUCGCUCUGAACUAUAUGCAGCUUUCCAAUUUCAAUCAAUUUUUGAAGAAAGCUCAGAAGCUACAAGCUACAACUUCGAGAACAGUGAACGGUCGGUUUACCUAUCUGAGGAUCGGAAGGUGCAUUAAAUCGAGAUUGGCCCUGGGAAUUCCGGCAUGGAAAUUUCUUUGGAUCUGGCAAACGAUGGUGCAAAGACUUCAAUCAUUGUUCAAAGCUCGGUUCAUUUUUUGUCAAGAAGGAUGGUUUACUUGGCCUUGGUUUUGUUAAGAUAUCUUUCAUUUAGCAGAGUGGAUUUUUUGAUGGUUUUGCUUAGCAAGUUCGUUUAUGGACGCCUGACCCAAGUACAGGAUAGCCAGGCUAAAAGGGGGCCCUUUCUUAUGAAUAUCAAGUACGACAAGUAUCCGGCCAUUGAUGUCGGCGCCUGUAGUAAGAUCAAGUCCGACGAGAUUAAGGUUUUACCCGCAGAAAUAGGCAGCAUAAGAGGAAGCGAUGUGGAACUCAAAAAGGGGAAGUCAUACCAGUUUGAGUCCAUCGUUUUCUGCACCGGAUUCAAGACAUCAACAAGUUUGUGGCUCAAGAUGAUUAUCUUUUGAAAGAAGAUGGGAUUCCAAGACCAAGUUCUCCAAACCAUUCGAAGGGACAGAAGGAAUGAUUGGCUUCUAGCACCAUGUAGUUUGGAGCCAAAAUUUGUUUAAUCACCUCUCUUCGGGAUACUGAAUUGCUACAUUGAGAUCCUUCCUAAAGACAGGAAUCCUAGAACAAGAGCUUUGGCUGAGCUUUUGGAGCGAAGUGCAUUACAACUCACUAUAUGCUACUGCAGAUUUUUCCACAAGAAGUCCCAAAAAGAACCAUUGGCUUUUCUAGACUGCAAUUAGCAAGCAGACAGACCAUGAUGUAAUCUUAAUCUGCUUGCCGGUAUCCAUUCUACUGUCUUUGGCAGAAUUAGAAAAUGGGACAGUGCACCUUGGUUGUUUCCGAGGACCAUUCUAUUGAUGAUGUGCUUGAACCAGAUUGUCAUUGUUUACCUUGGUGUUUGGGUAGCGCAGCAGCUGGUCAUUUCUUUCUACGAGUGCAGCAAUUGGAUAUUCGCUGUGAAACAAAGACCAAGAUUUAUUUUUAAUUUUCUUUAUACACAAAAGAUUGAUAUUAACUUUCUAUACACCGAGCAAGCACUGCACACGCGCUCUGGCCGGAUCUCUUAGUUCUCUCACUAAUGUAAAGACUUUGUGUUGUUUCUCUUAAUUGUCUAUGUCUAUGUAUAUAUUUGUCCUCUGUUGGUUUAGUUAUUUAAGGUGCUUAUGGUUGUUACUUAUUUUUCCCAGUUUCAUUUGCUUCCUUCCAUUUUGGAUUUUUA
Rosa chinensis is the source of this 1401-nucleotide RNA transcript. It is a transcript of the gene named probable indole-3-pyruvate monooxygenase YUCCA10, with no coding region annotated. The record is from RefSeq and is a predicted model, not a curated record. Lineage: Eukaryota; Viridiplantae; Streptophyta; Magnoliopsida; Rosales; Rosaceae. The transcript has 8 exons.